This 73-nucleotide transfer RNA is filed under the name Clostridiales bacterium. Its description in RNAcentral is "tRNA-Gly". It matches the Rfam family "tRNA". From Rfam's summary of the family: Transfer RNA (tRNA) molecules are approximately 80 nucleotides in length. The record is from RNAcentral. Lineage: Bacteria; Bacillati; Bacillota; Clostridia; Eubacteriales.
GCGGUAGUAACUCAGUUGGUAGAGCGUUAGCCUUCCAAGCUAAAAGUCGAGGGUUCGAACCCCUUCUACCGCU